RNAcentral lists this ribosomal RNA (266 nucleotides) under uncultured bacterium. RNAcentral's name for it is "partial 16S ribosomal RNA". It matches the Rfam family "Bacterial small subunit ribosomal RNA", at positions 793 to 1055 of the family's 1533-position model. The record is from RNAcentral.
GUCCUAGCUGUAAACGAUGAGUACUAGGCAACGGGAAUCCGAUGUUCUCGUUGUCGAAGCGAAUGUGCUAAGUACUCCGCCUGGGGAGUACGGCCGCAAGGCUGAAACUCAAAGGAAUUGACGGGGGCUCACACAAGCGGUGGAGCAUGUGGUUCAAUUCGAAGCAACGCGCAGAACCUUACCAGGGUUUGAAAUGCAUGGAUUAGUCUCCUGAAAGGUAGAUGACGCCUUUGGUGGAACAUGCACAGGUGUUGCAUGGCUGUCGU